Molecule: ribosomal RNA, 186 nt
Filed under: uncultured bacterium
Lineage: Bacteria
Description: partial 16S ribosomal RNA
Rfam family: Bacterial small subunit ribosomal RNA
Source: RNAcentral
GCCUUCAUGAAGCCGGAAUUGCUAGUAAUGGCAGGUCAGCAUACUGCCGUGAAUACGUUCCCGGGCCUUGUACACACCGCCCGUCACACCAUGAGAGUUGGGAAUACCCGAAGCCUGUGAGCUAACUAAUAGAGGCAGCAGUCGAAGGUAGAAUCAAUGAUUGGGGUGAAGUCGUAACAAGGUAUC